RNAcentral lists this non-coding RNA (24 nucleotides) under Arabidopsis thaliana (thale cress). The record is from RNAcentral. Lineage: Eukaryota; Viridiplantae; Streptophyta; Magnoliopsida; Brassicales; Brassicaceae.
UUGAUAUUAUCUAUAUUGUUUAGU